Molecule: ribosomal RNA, 253 nt
Filed under: uncultured bacterium
Lineage: Bacteria
Description: partial 16S ribosomal RNA
Rfam family: Bacterial small subunit ribosomal RNA
Source: RNAcentral
UACGUAGGGUGCGAGCGUUAAUCGGAAUUACUGGGCGUAAAGCGUGCGCAGGCGGUUUUGCAAGACAGAUGUGAAAUCCCCGGGUUUAACCUGGGAACUGCAUUUGUGACUGCAAGGCUAGAGUACGGCAGAGGGGGGUAGAAUUCCACGUGUAGCAGUGAAAUGCGUAGAUAUGUGGAGGAAUACCGAUGGCGAGGGCAAUCCCCUGGGCCUGCACUGACGCUCAUGCACGAAAGCGUGGGGAGCAAACAGG